UCUUCGUUCUUUAUUAUUCUUCUCCUCCUUAUCUCUUCUUCUUCUCUUCACCUGCAAUUGAUAAUCGAAAGAUAAAUGAAGGAUUUGAGAUCAUAGAAAGAGCAAAUCGAGUGAUAGUGAUUAUGUGAGUUUGUAUGGUUGAUUCGAAUGCAACAUAAAAUGCAAAUCUGGGUGUAUAAUCUGGAUUACAAAGACGACGCAGAGGAAAGGAAGAACAAGAGAGGAAUCAGUAAGUAAUAAGAUAUGGGUGGAGUUGGAUGUAUAAAGAGUACAAACAAGAUUCCAGUUUCUUUUCAUACUUAUGUUACACAAGUGUCAUUGGUGAUCUUCGUAAGGUGUCCUGUCUUUCUGUUUAUAUUGUUAAUUGUUUUUGGGUACGGUUACCUGUCUUUCUGUUUAUAUCGUUUUUUAGUAUGGUUACCGGUUUAAUUUUCUUUUCUACCUUUGUUGUUUUAGAUUCCACUUUCAGUUUAUAGGGGAAACAGUAAACUGGUGAAAUAUUGAAUUAAAUUUAAUCAGUCUUUGACGCUCUCAACUGGUGAAAUGUUCUUCUAAGUUAAGAACAACCAAACAAGUACUAAUCUCAUGGAUUCAAGUUAAUUAAUCUGAAGUAAGUGACUCAUCGAAGAAAAUUUGAAAGUUUGGUGUAAUAUUAACACAUUUAUAUGAAAGUUAUUUUAUAUACAAGUUUUGUUGGGAAGAUA
This is a long non-coding RNA of Papaver somniferum (opium poppy), 704 nucleotides long. RefSeq lists it as uncharacterized. The record is from RefSeq and is a predicted model, not a curated record. The transcript is spliced from 2 exons. NCBI's taxonomy places the organism in Eukaryota, Viridiplantae, Streptophyta, Magnoliopsida, Ranunculales, Papaveraceae.